CCAUUUCUUGAAAUAGUUAAGCAGUACCGGGUGGCGAUUGAUGGCCCAUACCAGGACUAUGUCCAGAACCACUCGUUGGUCUGUAUGCAUCUGUCUCCGUUUCCGUUUUCUUAUACCGGUUAAAUCGAGAACCACCCGCAGCCGGUGGUUUUGACCGGCUAAAAGUGUGAAGCGAUGGCAGUACUCGACCGACUUUCAGGGGCCGGGAUGCUGCUAUCGAGCCAAAAUGCUGCUGCAGAAGCAAGAUAAGCAUAUAAAGAGCCAGAACAUAAUAAUUUCUUUGAUGUGUGGCCAUGGAAAUUAAGACUAGGAGUUUUCUUAAUU
This 324-nucleotide long non-coding RNA is filed under the name Olea europaea (common olive). RNAcentral describes it as "long non-coding RNA (OEUR_LNC010769)". Lineage: Eukaryota; Viridiplantae; Streptophyta; Magnoliopsida; Lamiales; Oleaceae. The record is from RNAcentral.